Molecule: regulatory RNA element, 141 nt
Organism: Fictibacillus arsenicus
Lineage: Bacteria; Bacillati; Bacillota; Bacilli; Caryophanales; Fictibacillaceae
Rfam family: Ribosomal protein L20 leader
About the family: This family is a putative r-protein leader autoregulatory structure found in B. subtilis and other low-GC Gram-positive bacteria. It is located in the 5' untranslated regions of mRNAs encoding initiation factor 3 followed by ribosomal proteins L35 and L20 (infC-rpmI-rplT). A Rho-independent transcription terminator structure that is probably involved in regulation is included at the 3' end.
Source: Rfam
UCAAACAAGCAGAAGCACCCGCUUCUCACCUGAUUCGACGCCUAUAAUUGGCUGUUGAUGGGUAGAUGGAAUUCAGGCAUGUUAUUAGUACAUAGCCGGUUUACGUGUGGGUGAUAUAUGCGCCGACGCUUUUUUUAUUUG